CAACAAGCCACACAAAAGCCAAAGUGAGCUACACAUUUUACAUGAACCUCAACCCUUGGAACCUCAACAGUUAACCAAUCCUGUGAACGGGUUAGGCAACUCAGGUGUCUAUUCUUCAACAGCGAAGUUAGAUAAGACGGAAGUUUAUGAAGUAGGGCUUUUUAAAUAUAAAGGGAGUAAUGUAGAGAUCUACAGGUCGUUAGCAACGUUCAGCGAACCUUGUGAUACAGGAUAGAGUGAUGAGUAUCAAAACUGUCACCUGUAACAAAACAAAGCCCACUAUGGGAUAUGGCAUCCGAAGGUUUAAGAGUAGUAGCAGCUGCACUUUAAUAAAUAAUAUCACCAUAAUCAAGAACAUAUAAAAGGUUGACUGGAUAACCUGCUUCCUACUGCUUCGAGAAAGACAACAUCUGUUUAAAGCCAACUUUAAAACUUCUUAACCAGCUCAUCUACCUAUUUUUUUUAUGUCAAAUCCAUACAUAUCCAGGAACACAUUAGAUUGGAGAAUGAGUGAACAUGUAGUUCAUAUGUAGCAUUCUUAUGAGUGUCUAAAAACAACAUUAAGGUGAAAGUCCACAAACACAGGCCAUUGAUUCACUAAAAGGUUGACUGAAUAACCUGCUUCCCUCUGCUUCGAGAAAGACAACAUCUGUUUCUGUAGAAAAAGCCAACUUUAAAACUUCUUAACCAGCUCAUCUACUUAUUUUUUUUAUGUCAAAUCCAUACAUAUCCAGGAACACAUUCGAUUGCAGAAUGAGUGAACAUGUAGUUCAUAUGUAACAUUCUCAUGAGAGUUUAAAAACAACAUGAAGGUGAAAGACCACAAACACAGGAACAUGGAUUCACUCAGAUGUGUUUUUGAACUCUCUCUCAUUGAGAGAUUUUCUGUUCAUGGUUACAAGGUCUGUCAAAUAAUUGAGUCGACAAUGUAUGGUGGAUAACCAGUGGAGAGGGACAUUUAACUUUUGCGCCAUCACCAAUGUCGUACAUUUCAAUAACUUUAUCAGGGCACUCAGACAAAAUGACUUUCACAGAGAGAGAGUAAGAAUAUGCUUUUCUAUUUGCUAUUUACUGUUUACGACAGGUUGACUCACCAGCCACAUUACCAGGCUGUUUGUGAUGAGUUUUUCCAACCAGGUUUUUAUUACAGGGGGCUGAUCUAUGGCUCAUGAGAGAUGACUUUGUGUGUAAGCUCCCUCCCACCAUGCAUUAUGUUAUCUAUAUGGCAAGAUUCCAAUUUAUCCAUUUCUCCCUAUCAUGUGGGGUAGAAUUAAACACGAGUUAGUUAUAUUUUGGCAAUCAUUGAUGCAGUUUAAGAUUAGGGAGCUACAUUUUUUUGUUGACGUGCAUGGCUUUAUUUCUAUUACAGCAUAUUGGAUGACUUAUUCACAUUCUAUUCACCCAGUUCAACGUAACAUACUUAAGACAUGCUGACCUCCACUGUUAUUGGUUAGCAUGUCUUGAGGGUAUGAUCUUUGACCCUGUGUAACUUUCUUACUCAUCAUUAUUCACGAUUAAUUCAGGAUCAUUUUAGUCAUCCUAGGCAGAUGUGUUGAUUUCCACAUUAACAAUGUUCCAAUGAUGUUGCACCAGUUCUGGGAUUUCCCAGGCUGCAACCUGGUCUCAGAGCAUGUUGUAUUAUUCUGUACAUAAAUCCAAGACAGUCCAUUUAGUAUGAUAUGUUACGUUUUGUAUGGCAUGCAUUCAUUUGUGGAUGUCCAUCACCCAUUUCGUAUGAUAUGUUACGAAUUACAAUUUGGAUGAUAUGUUACGAAUUUAUGUAUGAUAUGUUAUGAAUUCCAAUUUGUUGUAUCUCCCAUCUCCACAGAGGAACUCUAGAGCUCUGUCAGAGCAACCAUCGGGUUCUUGGUCACCUCCCUGAUUGCUCAGUUUGGCCGGGUGGCCAGCUCUAGGAAGUGUCUUAGUUGUUCUAAACUUCUUCCAUUUCAGAAUGAUGGAGGUCACCGUGUUCUUGGGGACCUUCAAUGCUGCAAAAAAAUGUUUGGUACCCUUCCCCAGAUCUGUGCUGUGACACAAUCUUGUCUCGGAGAUUUACAGAUAAUUUCUUCGACCUCAUGACUUGGUUGUUGCUCUGACGUGCACUGUCAACUGUGGGACUUUAUACAGACAGGUGUGUGCCUUCCAAAUCAUGUCCAAUCAAUUGAAUUUACCACAGGUGGACUCAAAGUUGUAAAAACAUCUCAAGGAUGAUUCAUGGAAAUAAGAUGCACCUGAGCUCAAUUUUGAGUCUCACAGCAAAGGUUAUGAAUACCUAUGUGAAUAAGGUAUUUCUGUUUUUUAUUGUUAAUAAGUUAGCAAACAUUUCUAAAAACCUGUUUUCACUUUGUUGUUAUGGGGUAUUUUGUGUAGCUUGCUGAGGAUUUAUUUUAUUUAAUCCAUUUUAGAUUAAGAAUGUAAAGCAGGGGUGGGCAACUCCAGGCCUUGAGGGCCUGAUUGGUGUCACACUUCUUCUCCAUCCCUGGCAAACACAGCUGAUUAAUGAAAUUGCAUGCUGAACUGAACAUCAUGAUUAGGUGAUUAUUAGAGUCAGGUGUGUUGGCUGGAGCUGGGGCAAAACUGUGACACCAAUCAGGCCCUCGAGGACUGGAGUUUCCCACCCCUGCCGUAAAGUAACAAAAUUUGGAAAAAGUCAAGGGGUGUGAAUACUUUCCGAAGUCACGGUAUACAGCGCCUUGCAAAAGUAUUCAUACCCCUAGGUUUUCUUCUCAUUUUAUUGUGUUACAAAGUGGGAUUUAAAUGAAUUUAUUGCUAUUUUUUGUCAACAAUCUACACAAAAUACUCUGUAAUAUCACAGUGGAAGAAAAAUUCUUAAACUUUUUCAAGAUUAAUAAAAUGUAAUAACUAAAA
Oncorhynchus masou masou (cherry salmon) is the source of this 2868-nucleotide long non-coding RNA. RefSeq lists it as uncharacterized. NCBI's taxonomy places the organism in Eukaryota, Metazoa, Chordata, Actinopteri, Salmoniformes, Salmonidae. The record is from RefSeq and is a predicted model, not a curated record. The transcript has 2 exons.